CAGCAGCCGCGGUAAUACGAAGGGUGCAAGCGUUACUCGGAAUUACUGGGCGUAAAGCGUGCGCAGGCGGUUUGUUAAGACAGAUGUGAAAUCCCCGGGCUCAACCUGGGAACUGCAUUUGUGACUGGCAGGCUAGAGUAUGUCAGAGGGGGGUGGAAUUCCGCGUGUAGCAGUGAAAUGCGUAGAUAUGCGGAGGAACACCGAUGGCGAAGGCAGCCCCCUGGGCCAAUACUGACGCUCAUGCACGAAAGCGUGGGGAGCAAACAGGAUUAGAUACCCCUGUAGUCCCUGUCUCUUAUAC
RNAcentral lists this ribosomal RNA (301 nucleotides) under uncultured bacterium. Its description in RNAcentral is "partial 16S ribosomal RNA". It matches the Rfam family "Bacterial small subunit ribosomal RNA", at positions 509 to 807 of the family's 1533-position model. The record is from RNAcentral.